RNAcentral lists this microRNA precursor (62 nucleotides) under Sphenodon punctatus (tuatara). Its description in RNAcentral is "Spt-Mir-92-P1d_pre stem-loop". The record is from RNAcentral. Lineage: Eukaryota; Metazoa; Chordata; Lepidosauria; Sphenodontia; Sphenodontidae.
AGGGACGGGACGCGGUGCAGUGUUGUUCAUCUCCCUCCAAUAUUGCACUCGUCCCGGCCUCC